AAUUAGGACCAUACAUUGAGAUUCUUUUAUCCUCAUCGCUAGCUAGUCGGAACGCUAUCUCUCUUCUUCUUCGUCACUCAACCAUCAAAAUAUGGUAUAUAAUUAACAACCUCUUUUUUUGAUAUUUACUUAAAACUAUACUGAACCACCUAUCUAUUUGGUUUUUGGCGCUGUCCCGACACUGAUGAGCAUUAGAUUAUAUAAAUGGAAGGGAGAGAAAGUCAACUAAAGCAGAGACGAGUGCACCAAGGGAUGCUGGCUAAGAAGGGUUCUGUUUGAUUUUAGCACCUGUUGAAGGUGAGCCUAUCGGCAACUUUCCUUCUGAUUUCAACCUUCGAAUUGCUUGUGUUAGGCAUAUGAUCUUACCGACGACAUCUCCCUUCCUCUUUGUAGGGUAAGGGGUUUACCGGGGAAGAACCCUAAAUCCGUCUACCUUUUUACCAGUAAGCCAUCGUCUAUUCACUUCUUUAAUGCGUGAUAAGCUUGACCGAGGAAACUUGCUUUACUUCGAAUCAAUCUCUAGCUUUCGACUAAGCUAAGAUGCAGAUAGGAUAGGAUCAAUCUAACUAACUAAAAAGGAUAUUCCCUAGGGAAGGAAAGAACUCAAGCUUGUCCGGAGACUGAGGGC
RNAcentral lists this long non-coding RNA (628 nucleotides) under Nicotiana benthamiana. Its description in RNAcentral is "long non-coding RNA (NBEN_LNC021229)". The record is from RNAcentral. Lineage: Eukaryota; Viridiplantae; Streptophyta; Magnoliopsida; Solanales; Solanaceae.